This 440-nucleotide ribosomal RNA is filed under the name uncultured bacterium. RNAcentral describes it as "partial 16S ribosomal RNA". It matches the Rfam family "Bacterial small subunit ribosomal RNA", at positions 338 to 795 of the family's 1533-position model. The record is from RNAcentral.
CCUACGGGCGGCAGCAGUGGGGAAUAUUGCACAAUGGGGGGAACCCUGAUGCAGCGACGCCGCGUGAGUGAAGAAGUAUUUCGGUACGUAAAGCUCUAUCAGCAGGGAAGAAAAUGACGGUACCUGACUAAGAAGCCCCGGCUAACUACGUGCCAGCAGCCGCGGUAAUACGUAGGGGGCAAGCGUUAUCCGGAUUUACUGGGUGUAAAGGGAGCGUAGACGGCACUGCAAGUCCGGAGUGAAAGCCCAGGGCUUAACCAUGGGACUGCUCUGGAAACUGUGGAGCUUGAGUGCGGGAGGGGCAGGCGGAAGUACUAGUGUAGCGGUGAAAUGCGUAGAUAUCAGGAGGAACACCAGUGGCGAAGGCGGCCUGCUGGACUGUAACUGACGUUGAGGCCCGAAAGCGUGGGGAGCAAACAGGAUUAGAUACCCCAGUAGUC